This 369-nucleotide ribosomal RNA is filed under the name Triticum aestivum (bread wheat). RNAcentral's name for it is "partial small subunit ribosomal RNA". Lineage: Eukaryota; Viridiplantae; Streptophyta; Magnoliopsida; Poales; Poaceae. The record is from RNAcentral.
AGGACCAAAAUCUAUGGAGGUUUAGGUUUCCGAGACCUAGAACUCUACAACCUCGCAUUGCUAGCUCAUGGGACAUGGAGAAUUAUUCGGGAGCUAAAUUCGUUGAGUGCCAGAAUACUGAAGGCGGUUUAUUUCCCUGAGUCCUCGUUGCUCGUAGCAAUGGUGGGCUCCCACCCCUCACAAAUAUGGGGGUUCAUUAUUGAAGGGUGAGAUGUUCUUGCACAAGGUUUAAUUAGAAGGAUUGGAUACGGUGCAACUAUUGAGAUUUGGGGACACAAUUGGCUGCCGAGAGAGGGUUCGAUGAGGCCAAUCACGUCAUCACUUACUGCCAACGUGUUCUUACCGAAAGAACUUAUUGAUGAAACUUAA